UGGGGAAUUUUGGACAAUGGGCGAAAGCCUGAUCCAGCAAUGCCGCGUGUGUGAAGAAGGCCUUCGGGUUGUAAAGCACUUUUGUCCGGAAAGAAAUCCUUGGCUCUAAUACAGUCGGGGGAUGACGGUACCGGAAGAAUAAGCACCGGCUAACUACGUGCCAGCAGCCGCGGUAAUACGUAGGGUGCAAGCGUUAAUCGGAAUUACUGGGCGUAAAGCGUGCGCAGGCGGUUUGCUAAGACCGAUGUGAAAUCCCCGGGCUCAACCUGGGAACUGCAUUGGUGACUGGCAGGCUAGAGUAUGGCAGAGGGGGGUAGAAUUCCACAUGUAGCAGUGAAAUGCGUAGAGAUGUGGAGGAAUACCGAUGGCGAAGGCAGCCCCCUGGGCCAAUACUGACGCUCAUGCACGAAAGCGUGGGGAGCAAACAGGAUUAGAUACCCUGGUAGUCCACGCCCUAAACGAUGUCAACUAGUUGUUGGGGAUUCAUUUCCUUAGUAACGUAGCUAACGCGUGAAGUUGACCGCCUGGGGAGUACGGUCGCAAGAUUAAAACUCAAAUGAAUUGACGGGGUCAUAGCUGUUUCCU
This 585-nucleotide ribosomal RNA is filed under the name uncultured bacterium. RNAcentral's name for it is "partial 16S ribosomal RNA". It matches the Rfam family "Bacterial small subunit ribosomal RNA", at positions 355 to 1375 of the family's 1533-position model. The record is from RNAcentral.